GCAAGUCGAGGGGUAACAGGGGAGCUUGCUUCCGCUGACGACCGGCGCACGGGUGCGUAACGCGUAUAGAACUUACCUUUUACAGAGGGAUAGCCUUUAGAAAUGAAGAUUAAUACCUCAUAGUAUUGAGCCUUGGCAUCAAGGUUUAAUUAAAGAUUUAUCGGUAAAAGAUGGCUAUGCGUCCUAUUAGCUAGAUGGUAAGGUAACGGCUUACCAUGGCAACGAUAGGUAGGGGUCCUGAGAGGGAGAUC
RNAcentral lists this ribosomal RNA (251 nucleotides) under uncultured bacterium. Its description in RNAcentral is "partial 16S ribosomal RNA". It matches the Rfam family "Bacterial small subunit ribosomal RNA", at positions 57 to 305 of the family's 1533-position model. The record is from RNAcentral.